RNAcentral lists this long non-coding RNA (926 nucleotides) under Phoenix dactylifera (date palm). RNAcentral describes it as "long non-coding RNA (PDAC_LNC015082)". The record is from RNAcentral. Lineage: Eukaryota; Viridiplantae; Streptophyta; Magnoliopsida; Arecales; Arecaceae.
GAUUCAAAAGAAGAUAUCCAUUAAAAACAAUAAGUUCAUACAACCCCAAGAAUAUAAAAUAAAAUAUAAAACCCGUCUUCCUUUGUUAGGGCUGCAUCCAGCCCUGGAAAAGAGAUCAGCCUUCCAUGCAGUGGUGGAUGGCAGCAGCAGCACAGCAACAGGCUUCCAUCUUCAUAUAAAAAUCUUUUCCUUCCAUCCCACUCUCUCUAUUCCCAAAAUAUCACAAAGUAUUCUCUCCCUCUCCUUUCUCUCUUUUUUUUAUUAUUAUUUGUGGGAACUUAGCUUCUCCCCGCCCUCUGAGAAGAUGAUCAGCCGACUCCCUUCGGUGAGGAAGAAGGGAUUGCCCCCCCCCCCUCCCGGUGGGGAAGGAGGAAUGGAAGAGAAGAAUGCCUCUAGCCUUCAUCAUCGACUCCCUUUUAUAGCCUUCACAGCCUCUGUUAUCAACCUUCAGAUAUAUUCUUCCGAGUGAGAAGAUAAAGGAAAGGAACGGUCUCUGUUCCGCGGACGUGGGUGAGUCUCUUGAGAAGAUCCAAUCCGGACGUUGGGAGCUGAUCACGUUUGGCUUAAUCCUUGGAAGUUUAUCCUCGGAUGCUGGAACGCGUUGGAUGGAGUUGAUCCGGAACGCUGGGAGGAUAAUCCUGAGUUCGGUGGGUGAUGAAGAUGUGAUCCUAGAAUUCGUUGAACUUGUUUUGCUGAGGGAAGCAGCUGGCAGUGCGGAUGAACCUUGCUCCACUGGGAAGAAUCUGGAAGAGACUAACGAGGCUUCAGCGUGGAGAGAAUCUCGGACGGAAAGAGCUGGGACUUUGCUGGCUUGAGUCGUGAUAAGAUGGUACCCUGUUCUAAAGCAUAGGAUAAGGAUGCAAAGCUGGGAAGAAGCUGAAAGAAGAUUUGAUGGUUUAGGAUGCGGGAUAAUGAUGAAAUUGAUC